Homo sapiens (human) is the source of this 515-nucleotide long non-coding RNA. Ensembl annotates it as long intergenic non-protein coding RNA 2877. Lineage: Eukaryota; Metazoa; Chordata; Mammalia; Primates; Hominidae. The record is from Ensembl.
GGCACAUAUUAAGCCUAGAAUGUGCUAGCCAAUGUGGUACUGGACUGACGUGGCUCAUGGAUCUCAUGGUGGGAACUACAUAGAGUGGACUUAUGAGAAAAGCCAGCUGGGGCUCCAGGAGCAUCACGGAGCAAAGAGAGAUAAGGCCCGAAGAUCCAGACUGAUGAUAAGCCUAAAGCUGGUGGAGGACAAUCACUACUGGAUUCUACCACAGAAGGCUGCAAACACGGCUGAGGAUUUUUACUAAAGUUACAAAAAUCAUUAUCGUUCUGGGGAAUCCACCUGCCAUGGUGAGUAGCACUACAAGAGAGGCCCAUGCAGCAAAGAAUUGAAACCUCUAAACAAUAGCCAUGUAAGUAAGUUUGGAAAUGGAUUCUUAGCCUAACCUUAGGAUAACUGUGGCCCCAGGCAAUAGCUGGACUGGAAUCUUAUAGAGAUUUUGCACCAAAACCGCUUAGCUCAUCUGCUACCAGAUUCCAGGCCCACAGAAGCCCUGAGAUUAAAAAAAUGUUUGA